GACGAACGCUGGCGGCGUGCUUAACACAUGCAAGUCGAGCGGUAAGGCCCUUUCGGGGGUACACGAGCGGCGAACGGGUGAGUAACACGUGGGUGACCUGCCUCUAGCUCUGGGAUAAGCCCGGGAAACUGGGUCUAAUACUGGAUAUGACUCCAUGACGCAUGUUGUGGGGUGGAAAGCCUUGUGCGGCUAGAGAUGGGCCCGCGGCCUAUCAGCUUGUUGGUGGGGNGAUGGCCUACCAAGGCGACGACGGGUAGCCGGCCUGAGAGGGCGACCGGCCACACUGGGACUGAGACACGGCCCAGACUCCUACGGGAGGCAGCAGUGGGGAAUCUUGCGCAAUGGGCGAAAGCCUGACGCAGCGACGCCGUGUGAGGGAUGACGGCCU
Molecule: ribosomal RNA, 388 nt
Filed under: uncultured bacterium
Lineage: Bacteria
Description: bacterial SSU rRNA
Rfam family: Bacterial small subunit ribosomal RNA
Source: RNAcentral